CCUACGGGAGGCUGCAGUCGAGAAUCAUUCACAAUGGGGGAAACCCUGAUGGUGCGACGCCGCGUGGGGGAAUGAAGGUCUUCGGAUUGUAAACCCCUGUCAUGUGGGAGCAAAUUAAAAAGAUAGUACCAGAAGAGGAAGAGCCGGCUAACUCUGUGCCACCAGCCGCGGGAAUACAGAGGUCUCAAGCGUUGUUCGGAAUCGCUGGGCGUAAAGCGUGCGUAGGCCGUUUCGUAAGUCGUGUGUGAAAGGCGCGGGCUCAACCCGCGGACGGCACAUGAUACUGCGUGACUAGAGUGAUGGAGGGGGAACCGGAAUUCGCGGUGUAGCAGUGAAAUGCGUAGAUAUCGAGAGGAACACUCGUGGCGAAGGCGGGUUCCUGGACAUUAACUGACGCUGAGGCACGAAGGCCAGGGGAGCGAAAGGGAUUAGAUACCCUAGUAGUC
RNAcentral lists this ribosomal RNA (446 nucleotides) under uncultured bacterium. RNAcentral's name for it is "partial 16S ribosomal RNA". It matches the Rfam family "Bacterial small subunit ribosomal RNA", at positions 338 to 795 of the family's 1533-position model. The record is from RNAcentral.